GGUGAGAAACCCGUCCGCCGGAUGACUAAGGGUUCCAGGGUCAAGCAAUCUGCCCUGGGUAAGUCGGGACCUAAGGCGAGGCCGACAGGCGAGUCGAUGGACAACGGGUUGAUAUUCCCGUACCAGUGAGAACCGCCCAUGCUGAGCCGGUGAUACUAACCGCCCGGAACCAUCCCGAACCUCGUCUUUGACGGGGACGGUGGUGGGGAGCGGCGGGACCUGAACCGGGAGGCAAGCGCAUUAACAGGUGUGACGCAGGAAGGUAGCCGGGCCGGGCAAUGGAAAUGACCUGGUCUAAGGGUGUAGGGCUGCCGGUAGGUAAAUCCGCCGGCUGUGUGCCUGAGACCUGAUGGGCGCCCACAUGUGGGUGAUCCGGUGAUCCUAUGCUGCCUAGAAAAGCAUCGGCGCGAGGUUCAAACUGCCCGUACCCUAAACCGACACAGGUGGUCAGGUAGAGAAUACUAAGGCGAUCGAGAGAAUCAUGGUUAAGGAACUCGGCAAAAUGCCCCCGUAACUUCGGGAGAAGGGGCCCCAACCUUGAGCACCACUCGCUGGUGUGAGGGGAUCGGGGCCGCAGAGACCAGGGGGAAGCGACUGUUUAUCAAAAACACAGGUCCAUGCGAAGUCGUAAGACGAUGUAUAUGGACUGACUCCUGCCCGGUGCUGGAAGGUUAAGGGGACCCGUUAGCUUCGGCGAAGCGGAGAACUUA
This 710-nucleotide ribosomal RNA is filed under the name Micrococcus luteus. RNAcentral describes it as "bacterial LSU rRNA". It matches the Rfam family "Bacterial large subunit ribosomal RNA", at positions 1320 to 1915 of the family's 2925-position model. The record is from RNAcentral. Lineage: Bacteria; Bacillati; Actinomycetota; Actinomycetes; Micrococcales; Micrococcaceae.